Molecule: ribosomal RNA, 483 nt
Filed under: uncultured bacterium
Lineage: Bacteria
Description: partial 16S ribosomal RNA
Rfam family: Bacterial small subunit ribosomal RNA
Source: RNAcentral
AUUGAACGCUGGCGGCAGGCCUAACACAUGCAAGUCGAGCGGAUGAAGGGAGCUUGCUCCUGGAUUCAGCGGCGGACGGGUGAGUAAUGCCUAGGAAUCUGCCUGGUAGUGGGGAUAACGUCCGGAAACGGGCGCUAAUACCGCAUACGUCCUGAGGGAGAAAGUGGGGGAUCUUCGGACCUCACGCUAUCAGAUGAGCCUAGGUCGGAUUAGCUAGUUGGUGGGGUAAAGGCCUACCAAGGCGACGAUCCGUAACUGGUCUGAGAGGAUGAUCAGUCACACUGGAGCUGAGACACGGUCCAGACUCCUACGGGAGGCAGCAGUGGGGAAUAUUGGACAAUGGGCGAAAGCCUGAUCCAGCCAUGCCGCGUGUGUGAAGAAGGUCUUCGGAUUGUAAAGCACUUUAAGUUGGGAGGAAGGGCAGUAAGUUAAUACCUUGCUGUUUUGACGUUACCAACAGAAUAAGCACCGGCUAACUUCGUG